GGGAAGGGCGGCAUGCUACCAUGCAGUCGAACGGUGAAGCAGAGCUUGCUCUGUGGAUCAGUGGCGAACGGGUGAGUAACACGUGAGCAAUCUGCCCCUGACUCUGGGAUAAGCGCUGGAAACGGCGUCUAAUACCGGAUACGAGCUGCGACCGCAUGGUCAGUAGCUGGAAAGAAUUUCGGUCAGGGAUGAGCUCGCGGCCUAUCAGCUUGUUGGUGAGGUAAUGGCUCACCAAGGCGUCGACGGGUAGCCGGCCUGAGAGGGUGACCGGCCACACUGGGACUGAGACACGGCCCAGACUCCUACGGGAGGCAGCAGUGGGGAAUAUUGCACAAUGGGCGAAAGCCUGAUGCAGCAACGCCGCGUGAGGGAUGACGGCCUUCGGGUUGUAAACCUCUUUUAGCAGGGAAGAAGCGAAAGUGACGGUACCUGCAGAAAAAGCGCCGGCUAACUACGUGCCAGCAGCCGCGGUAAUACGUAGGGCGCAAGCGUUAUCCGGAAUUAUUGGGCGUAAAGAGCUCGUAGGCGGUCUGUCGCGUCUGCUGUGAAAACCCGAGGCUCAACCUCGGGCCUGCAGUGGGUACGGGCAGACUAGAGUGCGGUAGGGGAGAUUGGAAUUCCUGGUGUAGCGGUGGAAUGCGCAGAUAUCAGGAGGAACACCGAUGGCGAAGGCAGAUCUCUGGGCCGUAACUGACGCUGAGGAGCGAAAGGGUGGGGAGCAAACAGGCUUAGAUACCCUGGUAGUCCACCCCGUAAACGUUGGGAACUAGUUGUGGGGUCCAUUCCACGGAUUCCGUGACGCAGCUAACGCAUUAAGUUCCCCGCCUGGGGAGUACGGCCGCAAGGCUAAAACUCAAAGGAAUUGACGGGGACCCGCACAAGCGGCGGAGCAUGCGGAUUAAUUCGAUGCAACGCGAAGAACCUUACCAAGGCUUGACAUAUAGAGGAAACGUCUGGAAACAGUCGCCCCGCAAGGUCUCUAUACAGGUGGUGCAUGGUUGUCGUCAGCUCGUGUCGUGAGAUGUUGGGUUAAGUCCCGCAACGAGCGCAACCCUCGUUCUAUGUUGCCAGCACGUAAUGGUGGGAACUCAUGGGAUACUGCCGGGGUCAACUCGGAGGAAGGUGGGGAUGACGUCAAAUCAUCAUGCCCCUUAUGUCUUGGGCUUCACGCAUGCUACAAUGGCCGGUACAAAGGGCUGCAAUACCGUGAGGUGGAGCGAAUCCCAAAAAGCCGGUCCCAGUUCGGAUUGAGGUCUGCAACUCGACCUCAUGAAGUCGGAGUCGCUAGUAAUCGCAGAUCAGCAACGCUGCGGUGAAUACGUUCCCGGGUCUUGUACACACCGCCCGUCAAGUCAUGAAAGUCGGUAACACCUGAAGCCGGUGGCCCAACCCUUGUGGAGGAGCCGUCGAAUGGUGAUCGAGCCU
This 1425-nucleotide ribosomal RNA is filed under the name Microbacterium arborescens. RNAcentral describes it as "bacterial SSU rRNA". It matches the Rfam family "Bacterial small subunit ribosomal RNA". Lineage: Bacteria; Bacillati; Actinomycetota; Actinomycetes; Micrococcales; Microbacteriaceae. The record is from RNAcentral.